This 363-nucleotide ribosomal RNA is filed under the name Triticum aestivum (bread wheat). Its description in RNAcentral is "partial small subunit ribosomal RNA". Lineage: Eukaryota; Viridiplantae; Streptophyta; Magnoliopsida; Poales; Poaceae. The record is from RNAcentral.
AUGGCGGCACUGCGGUGUCGUUUUCUCUCUUGGGAGCAUCGUUUGCGGAGCAGCGCUGGAUGUCAGAGGCAGGAGGUGGAGCGGCUUCGUCUUGCACGGAGCUUCGGUGGUGAUGUCAAGUCAUGCCUGACCGACAGGUGCUACGCUUUGUCAUGCCUGGUCGGCAGGUGCUAUGCACGACAGAUCUUCCAAGGACUUCAAGCUGUGUUGGCUGGUGAUACCUGGCAGCAUGGCGCUGAGGUGUAUCAGUGGCGACCGCGAGGUGCUCAGCUGUUUGCGCGCAGGGAGGAGGUGCCGUUUGGCGCCGUGGUGGCGUCGACGAUAGCUAGACCGAGCAAGGUUGAUGCAUCAGUACAGUUCUGA